AUAAGAAAUAGGAAUAUGUGUAAGAAUAUUCUUCGAUUAUAUUGUAGAAGUUGUCUAUAAAAUAUUUUGUCUCAAUUUUCAUGUCUUUUGAACUUUGACAAUUUAAUUCAAUCAUUUUUCUUUUGAUAUACAAUCUAAGAGAUUGAGGAUAUUCUGAAUAAUGGCUAGUAAUGAAUGCCCAAAAAGAUAAGUUCAACAGAUAAAGCAGGACUUAUUAAAUUGUUUGGUUUCAAGUAAAUGGGUAAAUAAUGAAAUCGUAGACGUGAAUGAUGAAUUCAAUAUGAUUUCAAAAACACUUAUUAAUACAAUUUCAAAAAUGUGAUGUAUACACGGUAAAUAAAAAAUAUCACACCCCAACAUUUGCUACAAUAAUAUGCAGUUAAACCCCAUUUUUGAAUUGCUACAAAGAUAGCUGCUGCUUGACCUUCCCCGAACCAGAAGAAAUUUCAGGCACAUCAAAUGUAUUGAGACUAAAUGAUUCUGCAGUUGCUAUUAAUAUAAGAACAGCGUCUCUGUCGCUAAUUUUGCACUCAUCAAAUGCAGUGACCAGUUUAUCAGUUA
Molecule: long non-coding RNA, 561 nt
Organism: Daktulosphaira vitifoliae (grape phylloxera)
Lineage: Eukaryota; Metazoa; Arthropoda; Insecta; Hemiptera; Phylloxeridae
Exons: 4
Source: RefSeq, a predicted model, not a curated record